CCCUGCGUCUCCGCGUACGUCACCCACCCAAUCCGCCACCCACUCUUCCCCAUCUUACGCAUCGAAUCUGCGUCGCCGUGAGGACGCCCAAAUACAAAGCGCACCAGCCACCGGCACGACACUGCUCAUCUGCUCGUUGAUGUAGGCCUAGCUGAACCCGCAACUGCAGAGGAAGCAUGGAAGCGCAUGGUGAGGUUGGGGGCAGCAGCAAUGGCAACGGUAAGGACGUCACCGAUGGCUCUGCACCUAUACAUGGACCAGGUAAUUAACAUCUUUCUUGUCUUCAUAUCCAUUGCAUACUUGUGGUUGUGUAUCUGAUUCAAGCAUGGUGUGAUCUGCCAUGGGAAUGGCUAUAUGAGAAAUUGUGCCAUGUAUUUACAUUACCUAUGAUGAAACAUCUUAGAUGUCUUGCAAUUCGUUGGCACUUUUGUGUAUUUAUAGUACCUGUCCUAACAAAAAUCAGUCACAUAUAUAGCAGGGUAACUGAA
RNAcentral lists this long non-coding RNA (488 nucleotides) under Hordeum vulgare. RNAcentral's name for it is "long non-coding RNA (HVUL_LNC011649)". Lineage: Eukaryota; Viridiplantae; Streptophyta; Magnoliopsida; Poales; Poaceae. The record is from RNAcentral.